Long non-coding RNA from Rhopilema esculentum, 2691 nucleotides. RefSeq lists it as uncharacterized. The record is from RefSeq and is a predicted model, not a curated record. Lineage: Eukaryota; Metazoa; Cnidaria; Scyphozoa; Rhizostomeae; Rhizostomatidae.
AAAAUGACAGACCUGGUGAAAAAUACCCCUUUUUUCAAAUUCUAGGUCCUAGUAUUAGUCUCAUUUAAUACCCCUUUCUCAGUGAUUCUACAGACAAGCCUUGGCAUCAUUUUUGGUAUAGAAGUGCACCCGCCGGCUACGUGUCUUUCAUGGAGAAGUCAAUAUGCCCCCAGUUUUAUAUGGUUUAUUCUGCAGACCACCAUCUUCUAAAAAUCAUUUUGUUUUGUGUGCCACUGGAACAAUAGUUCCCGCUCUUUGCUUUUAGUCUGUAUUUUGUCAUGCGAAGUUCCUGCUCUGGCCAAUCAGAAAACGCACGUGCGCUCCACUCACGAAAUUUUGCACCAGUCAGAGGGAGUUAGCCAAUCAGUGGCCAUACAGUGGGUAGCAAAACUUGUGGCAGGAAUCUAAAAGCCUAAAAAUUCAUCUUUCGGGGGGUUGACCUCUUCUUUUUCAUUAUAUUAAGUUUCUGGCACACAGGGCGAGUAGAUAACCUUCUCAACAUGGUAACUAAAAAUUUGUCACAGCACAUAAUUAGAGAGUAUUCCUCUACUGUGGAGGGAAGAAAUGAGUAAAGAAAGAAUAAAAGAUUAUUCGAAAUUGGAAAGGAACUUAUGGCGGUGACUGAGUUGGAGUUGAAUACGAUCAAACAAUAUCCUUUUAACUUCUGCGAGUUUUCAAAACUCCACAAAACCACGGAAGAGAAGGAAAUGGUUGACGUGCUGCAAGGGCCACACCAUCUCGAGGCUGCGUUGUCUCAACCUUUAUGUAUAUUGGUUCCUUUGGAGAGGCUGACAAAGCUUUGAUGUAAAUCUAAUGAAGAGGUAACUGACCAAGCCAAGCUUACAAAUGCGACCCUCUGUGCCCACCACGGAAUAUGACCAGAAGCUUAUACCUACAUCAAUACUCCAUGAUGAAAAUCCUUACGAAGGGUUCUUAUAGAAGCUAAAACAGAGAGCCCACAUGAAAGGAAUGGCAAAACACUUACGUAAUUGCUGCCGUAGAACUGGCUGUGAAUACAAGACAAAGAAAAUAAGCAAUGCAUUUUAUUUGGGAAUGACUGACGUUUCAAGCAACAGUGGAUAAAACUUUAGUUAGACAAGACAGAGGAAAGAAUCAAGGUAAAAAGACUUUGUUAGAUUUGCUAUAAAACAAUAAUCUUUGCUAGCUUAAAAUUCUGGUCUUUUGGGGCAUAUUUAAACUAUUUCAAAUUGUUUGUCAUUUUACAGGUUGCAUUUCAACUUCUUAUGAUUGUUUGAAAUAUUGAAGCGGUCAAACAUUCAAUAUAUCAUUUCUUAUUUCAAGUAUUUCAAAAUGUAGAGAUAUUCAGCAUAAAUAGAUAAAAAAUAAAUUUCAUUUUGAUCUAAAAAAUUUGUCACAGUCGCAUCUUAUGAGUAAACAGUACAUGAAACAUAUGAAAUAAAGACUAUCUUUUAAGCAAGUAAUAUCUUCAGCUAUCGAUUCCUUUUUGCACCAAACAUUGACUGCAAACAAAGCAUCUGGAAAUCGAAUAAUGACUAAAUACUUUUGAUUCUGAUAUGGUCCAGUGUAUGCUCGGUGUUCAGAGUUGUUAAUGUGGCCUCUGCCUCGAUAGACUCUUCCCCGAAAUGUUUCAGCUAAAGAAAAAGUAAAAAGUCAUAAAAUUCGUCUCGAGCUAUAUUAAAUAGAUACCACAUCUUCCAAAUGCUACAAAGAGCCACUGAAAAAAUACAUGGAAGUCAGCUUCACACAUAUACAAUCAUUGCGGGUCAACUGCUAAUGAAGAGAUACCAUUGAAAAGUAAUUUUGAAAAGUAAAACAUCAAAACAAAUAGAACUUACGUCGUGAUUUAUUUGACUUCGGAGUUGCAUUGUUCACCUGAAAUUUAGCAACACAAAAGUAUAAGAAAUGUAAUUUCCACCUUUUCCAAACUUAAAAAUCUUGGUACUGUCAAACGAUAAACAAACAGUUUACUCCUGAUUAAAGCUGCUUUUAUGGAUAAACCCUUAAACUCACCUGUGGUUAGUUUUGCAAAGAGAGUUUGCACCACAUCAUUCUAGAUGGUUAAUUUGAAGUUAUCUAGCCACUUGAUGGAUAGCCUUUCAACACUCAAGACUUCAAUUCUAAUAUAGCAUAUAUAUGCACUUUCAUUAUAUCAUAUUUGACAAUUAUAUGUCUCUUAGGCAUAGAAACAUCUACCUCUCCCCCUUGGCUUUUUACAGAAUUAUCGAAGAUCUGCUGCUUUUUACUUGAACCUCCCAAUUUCAAAGAUGGAAGCCUUGAAACUAAAUUCUCGAAAUUGUUCAAAACUGUGUCAUAAAUGGCUACAAAAUAUGCACACGCGUUUACCUCAACAAAGAUGGCACAUGAACUUGUCUUGGCAACAGAGAAAUGUAAAUAAAUUUGAAAGAAUUAUACCUCUAUUCUUCUACCAUCAAAUGCUUUGCCAUUUAGUGCUUCUCUAGCCUUUCUGGCACCAGAUGAUCUUUCCAUUGUCACAAAGCCAAAUCCCUUGAUAAAACACAAUAUAAAUUACUAAAGUUUUAUUGCAUGCAAAUUUGUAUCCUGUAUAACUAGAACUUUCACUAAGUUAGGCCAACUUGUAAUAUUGUAUUGGAACUUCCUACCUUAUUUGAACUUAAUGUCCUACCCCUGAUAAGUCAGAAAUUUGCAAAAACAGACAAUUUUCUUAACCCCCACCCCGCCCCAUCCUGA